This is a long non-coding RNA of Meriones unguiculatus (Mongolian gerbil), 3967 nucleotides long. RefSeq lists it as uncharacterized. The record is from RefSeq and is a predicted model, not a curated record. The transcript has 6 exons. NCBI's taxonomy places the organism in Eukaryota, Metazoa, Chordata, Mammalia, Rodentia, Muridae.
UGACUGCUCUGAGGUCAGACCUGCUGUUCCCCUCACUGUUGGUUUCCACCCAACAGAGAAACUCAGUCUCUGUGCCCUGGGGCCCAUAAUUCUAUCUGGGGCAGUGAGUCAGGUGUGCAGGCAGGACUCUGUGCUGGUGCCUGUGUAUCUGGCUCUGGGUUGGCUGCUGGGCACCCUCUGGCCCCCGGGGUCUUUUCCAGGGAUUGUCUGGAUGACCUGAGAUUUGGUACACACUGUUUGUUGCCAGCUUGGACCCCCCCACCCCCAGGAUUGAACAUUUUCAAAUGACAGUUUGGGAAGCAACUUGCUGAUUUCCAGACUUGCUGAAGUGUCAAGCUGAGUCUCUCUCCAGGAAAGUUUACCAGAGGAGGAUGUGAGAAACACCUCUGUGGCCUUCAUAUCGGGGGAAGAAGAAGCUCGGCUGCUCUCCUGGUUUUCGGGUUGAUGAGGAAGGAUCUUCCCAUUGUCCUCAGUCCUGUCCAAGAAGUACGUCCCAAAGCACAGGUUUAUGGCCCAGUGCCCAGAGCUCUGGGUCACAAUGUGAAGAGCACAUGAAGAUGGUUUCUCCUGUGUGCCAGGCAGACAUCACAGAUUUUAGAGAUGAUUGAUAGAUGAUAUGCCAGUGUACAUGCUGGGGAAAAGAAACAUGAGGUGGUGCUUAGGGAAGUUUGAUCAGGCUGCUACAACAUGAGAACCAAAGUCAGUUAUGCAUUAAAUAAACUGAACCUGCAAAUACCCCAGAAAUCAUUAGAGGUUUAAGUGAAAUGACAAUGAAGACAUAAUUGACAGUUUUCAGAUAAUUACUUACUCUCCCUUUGUUGCUUAAUGUGGUAUUAUAAUAAGUUUCCUGACUCUAGAGAUUGGGGAAUCUAAACAAGAGGCAUUUUCAACUCCAGAUAGAAUGAUAAAUACAAAACAAAGAAAUAGUAUGAAAAGAUGUAAAGAUAGCAGCACAAAGUCACUACAGUAACAAAGAUUAGACCAUCAACAGAUCUCUUCUUAGUAAUCUUUUUUAUUUUUCCCAGGAUGGGAAAAAUUUUUAAUUUUAUUUAUUACAAUUUAUUCACUUUGUAUCCCCACUGCAGCCCCCUCCCUCGUCUCCUCCCAAUCCCUCCUUCUUCUCCCGCUAUGCCCUUUCCCUAGGCCCUUUCUAUCUGACCUUAGCUUAUCAGGUCUUGUCAAGGCUAGCUGCAUCAUCUUCCUCUGUGUCAUGGCAAGGCUGCACCCCCCAGGGAGAGGUGAUCAAAGAGUUUGCUACUGAGUUCAUGUCAGUGAUAGCUACUGUACCCCUUAUUAGGGAACCUACUUGGGAACUGAGAAGCCAAUGGGCUUCCUUUGACAGGGGUCUAGGUCCUCUCCAUGCAUGGUCCUCAGUUGGAGUAUUGGUCUCUGCAGCCCCCCUGGGCCCAAGUAUUUUGGCUCUGUUCUCCUUAUGCAGUUCCUGUCCCCUCCAGGACUUUCUAUCUCCCUCUUCUUCUGUAAGGAUUCCAGCACUCUACCCAAAGUUUGGCUAUGAGUCUCUGUAUCUCCUUCGAUACCCUGGUGGGUAGAGUCUUUCAGAGGUCCCUUGUGGAAGGCUCCCUUCCUGUUCCUAAUCAUGAAAUAUGCAGGCACAUUGAGGGAAGAAGAAAAGAUCAUCCUGAGUGUGGUAACCCAGAAGCAGAAAGACACAUAUGAUAUAUUCUCACUUAUAAGUGGAUAUUAGCCAUACAACAUAGGAUAAACAUACUAAAAUCCAUACUCCUAAAGAAGCUAAACAACAAGGAGGACCCUAGGGAAGAUGCUUAAUCCUCACUCAGAAAGUCAAACAGGAUAGACAUCAGAAGUGGGAGAAGGUAAGGAACAGGACAAGAGCCUCAUUAGUAAUCUUGAAAGGAAGCAUGGGACAAUAUAUCUCAGGUCAUGUUAGUAAAUAACUUCUAACCAAGAUUGUGAUGUUCAUCAACACUAUUGUGUAUAAAUAAAGAUAUUUCAUAAGAUGCACAAGGUUUGGGAGUUAGUGACACUAAUACUGUAGAAGACAUUUAAAAGAGUACUAUGUACAGAGGAAGAAGAAAGAUGGGAGAGAAAGAAAAUCAUCCGCCAUGUCUAAUCCACUAAAGAAGCAAGCUCUACUAAGAGAGGAGAAAGAAAAGAACAGACAAUAAUCCAAUCAACCAUAAAAACAACUAGCAAAUAACAGGAAUUAGUGAAAAUCCUUUAGUAGUAGCCUUCAGUGGAAAUAACCUCACCUCAUCAAUAAAGAGGGAUGGAAGCGAUGGCUGAGCUAGCAAGCAAGCUGGUGUAGCUAUUUUAAUAUCUGAUAAAGUGCAUUUCAGACAAAAUGUAGAAGAUAAAGGUCACUGCAUAAAAGUAACAAUUCAUCAAGGAGCUAUAAUAGAUAUAUAAACAGAUAACUAGAUAGGCACCAAAUGUUGACAACUCUAGUUUCAUGAAAUCAAUAGUAAAGACAUAAGAGAUCUGAUAAGAACUGGUACACCAGUGAGUGACUGAAGCCUUUAGAUAGAAAUCCAAACAAAAACUAAAAACAAACAAACUAAAACAACCAAAAAUUAUAAAGUUGAUCUACAUUAUAAACUAAGUGGACCUAAUCAAAUAUCUACAGAACAUUCUAUCCCACACAUACAGAAUGUACUUUCUUUCAACAACCCACUGAAGCUUCUUUAAAGUAAAUCUCAUUCUAAGCCACAAUGCAAGUUUUAAAUAAUGCAAAAUUAUGCAUUUCUUUUAUCUUACGAGGACACAGUAUAAUAAACCCAGAAAUAAUUAACAAGAGAAACUACAGGAGCUUCACAAAUACUUAGAGAAGAGACAAUAUACUUUUGAGGGUAGUUGAAAAAAAAUCCAAAAGGAAAUUAGUAACUUUUUAGAAUCAAAUGAAAAUAAAACUACAAUUUACCAAAAUCUUGGGAUACAACAAAGACAAUUCUAAGAUGAAUGUUUAUAGUUAUUAGGGCUUAGAAUAAAAACUCAAAUUUUGGGAAUGGGGCAAUGCCUUAGUGGCUAAAAAUACUUACUUGCGGAGGAGCUGGCUUUGGUUCCCAGAACCCACAUUUUGGCUCACAGCGGUCUAUAACUCCAGGUUCAAGGUAUUUGUUGCCCUCUUUGAAUCCCCACACUUACCAGUUAUAUAUAUGGUAAAUGCUUUUAUAUGCAGGCAAAAAUACAUAAAAUAAAACACAUAAAAACACAUAAAACACAUAAAAUAAAAAUAAAUAAAGCUUAAAAAAUGAGAUCUUAUGUACAAAGUCAUGUAUGAUGAUUUGAAAGUAGAACCAAAAUUAUAUUAGGUAAUUUAGAAGUGGGAGUGGGUUGUAGAGAGAAAGAGGAAGGUAUGUGGUAUCCGGGGAAUCUUCUCAUCAAACAGUAUACACCUGUAUGAAAAUGCCCUUAUAUAACAUGUACCAUUCCAGCUUUAACCUAUCGAAAUUUCUUGUGUUCUGGAUUCUUACUCUACCUUGAAUUGUUUUAGAAGCAACUUACGUGCUGAUGUGUGAUAUCUUUCAAAGUAUCAUCAUGAAUUGCUAUUAAAAUAUUAACUUUGGACAGAGUGCAGGGAAUCUUAUGAAAAAAGGGUGGGGGGACAGAAGCUCCACAAGGAGAGCAACAGAAUAAAAAAAUCUGGGCACAUGGGGUCUUUUCUGAGACUGAUACUCCAACCAAGGACCAUGCAUGGAUAUAACCUAGAAACCCUAUUCAGAUGUAGCCCAUGGCAGAUCAGUAUCCAAAUGGGUACCCUAGUAAGGGGAACAGGGACUCUCUCUGGCAUGAACUCAGUGACUGGCUCUUUGAUCACCUCCCCCUGAGGUGGGAGCAGCCUUACCAGGCCACAGAGAAAGACAAUGCAGCCAGUCCCGAUGAGACCUGAGAGGUGAGGGUUAGAUGGAGGUUACUCCUCCCUAUCAGUGGUCUUGGAGAAGGGAGGAAGGGUGGAAUUGGGAGGGCAUGAGGGAGGGGGCUGGGAUAC